GAGAAGCUCACACUUACAAACUCCAGCUUACAUCAACUUCAGAUUUAUCAUUAAACCAAAACGAAAUAACAGGCUGCACGGACGACCGAAAACCGCAAUGGAAAUCGCUAAGGUGUGGCGGGUCAUUUCGCAGCGGUUUUCCGUUUCUUCUGUCAUAACUUUUGGACUGUUUCUCGUGUUGACCAUCACGAUUCUUCAUUUCGAUGCAAGGACCAGAGAGAUAGAAGAGAAAUCAACCGCAG
RNAcentral lists this long non-coding RNA (242 nucleotides) under Octopus vulgaris (common octopus). The record is from RNAcentral. Lineage: Eukaryota; Metazoa; Mollusca; Cephalopoda; Octopoda; Octopodidae.